GCGGACGUGGCGAAAUCGGUAGACGCAGCAGACUUAAAAUCUGCCUCCCGUAUGGGAGUACGGGUUCGAGUCCCGUCGUCCGCA
This 84-nucleotide transfer RNA is filed under the name Chelatococcus asaccharovorans. It matches the Rfam family "tRNA". From Rfam's summary of the family: Transfer RNA (tRNA) molecules are approximately 80 nucleotides in length. The record is from Rfam by way of RNAcentral. Lineage: Bacteria; Pseudomonadati; Pseudomonadota; Alphaproteobacteria; Hyphomicrobiales; Chelatococcaceae.